GACGAACGCUGGCGGCGUGCUUAACACAUGCAAGUCGAACGAAGUGGCGAACGGGUGAGUAACGCGUAAUCAACCUGCCCUUCAGAGGGGGACAACAGUUGGAAACGACUGCUCAUACCGCAUACUGAAGGAGGGGCUUGCGUCUGAUUAGCUAGUUGGAGGGGGAACGGCCCACCAAGGCGAUGAUCAGGAGCCGGGCUGAGAGGAGGAACAGCCACAGUGGGAAUGGGAAACGGCCCAGACUCCUACGGGAGGCAGCAGGGGGGAAUCUUCCGCAAUGGACGAAAGGCUGACGGAGCAACGCCGCGGGAGUGAUGACGGCCUUCGGGUUGUAAAGCUCUGUUAAUCGGGACGCGGUACCGGAAUAGAAAGCCACGGCUAACUACGUGCCAGCAGCCGCGGUAAUAC
This 408-nucleotide ribosomal RNA is filed under the name uncultured bacterium. RNAcentral's name for it is "partial 16S ribosomal RNA". It matches the Rfam family "Bacterial small subunit ribosomal RNA", at positions 28 to 526 of the family's 1533-position model. The record is from RNAcentral.